CGGCAAACGGGUGCGGAACACGUACGCAACCUCCCCGGAACAGGUGAAUAGCCUUGCGAAAGUAAGAUUAAUACACCGUACCAUAUAGUUGUGGCAUCACGAUUAUAUUAUAGGUAGCAAUACCGGUUCCGGAUGGGCGUGCGCCUGAUUAGGUAGUUGGUGAGGGUAACGGCCUACCAAGCCUUCGAUCAGUAACUGGUGUGAGAGCACGACCAGUCACACGGGCACUGAGACACGGGCCCGACUCCUACGGGAGGCAGCAGUAAGGAAUAUUGGUCAAUGGACGCAAGUCUGAACCAGCCAUGCCGCGUGCAGGAUGACGGCCCUCUGGGUUGUAAACUGCUUUUAUCUGGGACGAAAAACGGACUUUCUAGUUCACUUGACGGUACCAGAGGAAUAAGCACCGGCUAACUCCGUGCCAGCAGCCGCGGUAAUACGGAGGGUGCAAGCGUUGUCCGGAUUUAUUGGGUUUAAAGGGUGCGUAGGCGGUUUAUUAAGUCAGUGGUGAAA
This 510-nucleotide ribosomal RNA is filed under the name uncultured Ferruginibacter sp. Its description in RNAcentral is "bacterial SSU rRNA". It matches the Rfam family "Bacterial small subunit ribosomal RNA", at positions 96 to 599 of the family's 1533-position model. The record is from RNAcentral. Lineage: Bacteria; Pseudomonadati; Bacteroidota; Chitinophagia; Chitinophagales; Chitinophagaceae.